Molecule: non-coding RNA, 715 nt
Organism: Ceratotherium simum simum (southern white rhinoceros)
Lineage: Eukaryota; Metazoa; Chordata; Mammalia; Perissodactyla; Rhinocerotidae
Source: RefSeq, a predicted model, not a curated record
CAUAAGACGGCAUUUGCAGUUUAAAUGCAAAAAAAAAGGGGGGGAGGGUGUUUGUAUAGAGAGAGACCAGGGCAGAAUUAAACUCUUCCUAAUCAGUGAUUAAGAUAUUUUGUAAAAUUGGCAGGUUAAGCUUUAUUUCAGUAUCUGCACAAAGAUAUGUUAACUUGGGAAUCCAAGUGUUGAUAGCCUUCAGCAUGGUAAAAUUUGGUAUAGAUAGAAUAAAUCAUAUUGUUAUUUUUAGUGGUUAUUAGUUUAAGAUGUGUGUAUAUAUAAAAUUGGAAUCAAAUAUCUGUGACACUGUAUUACCUCUGUGUAACCCUAGGGUUCUGUGGAAGUUUGAAAAGCAAAGCUAAGGUCUAUAUACUCCUUUAGACCAUACACUACAUCAUACUCUUCUUUAGGUCUCUAGUUCCUAGCACAAAAUAGAUGCUCAGAAAAUGUUUGCAUUGUAAUAAAUGCAAUCUUAAAAUGUGAUGCUGAUUUUCUGCUUUAUCCUUAGGGCACCAGUGUCUUGUCACCUGGACUCCACAUAGGAAUAAUUAUUAUACUGGCAAUAAUGAUCUAUAAAAAGUCAGCAACUAAUGUGUUCGAAAAGCAUCCUUGUCUUUAUACCCUAAUGUUUGGAUGUGUCUUUGCUAAAGUCUCACAAAAAUUGGUGAUAGCUCACAUGACCAAAAGUGAACUGUAUCUUCAAGACACUGUCUUUUUUGGCCCA